AGUAAAAGUCGUAACAAGGUUUCCGUAGGUGAACCUGCGGAAGGAUCAUUAACGAGUUUUGAAAUGGGUUGUAGCUGGCCUUACGAAGGCAUGUGCACACCCUGCUCAUCCACUCUCAUACCCCUGUGCACCUAUUGUAGGCUUGGUGGGAUGACUGGUGUUACAGCCAGUUUGAAAGCCUUGCCUAUGUUUCAAUACACACGCUUCAGUUUAAGAAUGUAACCUUUGCGUCUAACGCAUGAAAUACAACUUUCAGCAACGGAUCUCUUGGCUCUCGCAUCGAUGAAGAACGCAGCGAAAUGCGAUAAGUAAUGUGAAUUGCAGAAUUCAGUGAAUCAUCGAAUCUUUGAACGCACCUUGCACUCCUUGGUAUUCCGAGGAGUAUGCCUGUUUGAGUGUCAUGGUAUUCUCAACCUUCAAAGCUUUUGCAAUGAAGGCUUGGAUGUGGAGGUCGUGUUGGCGCAAGUCAACUCCUCUUAAAUACAUUAGUGUGAAUCUUACGGAUCGCCUUCAGUGUGAUAAGUAUCUACGCUGUGGUGUUGAAGUAUAUAGGCAUUCAUGCUUCUAAUCGUCUCUUUACUGAGACAAUUACUUGACAAUCUGACCUCAAAUCAGGUAGGACUACCCGCUGAACUUAAGCAUAUCAAUAAGCGGAGGA
RNAcentral lists this ribosomal RNA (658 nucleotides) under uncultured fungus. RNAcentral describes it as "eukaryotic LSU rRNA". The stretch from base 248 to 401 matches the Rfam family "5.8S ribosomal RNA". Lineage: Eukaryota; Fungi. The record is from RNAcentral.